RNAcentral lists this ribosomal RNA (428 nucleotides) under uncultured bacterium. RNAcentral describes it as "partial 16S ribosomal RNA". It matches the Rfam family "Bacterial small subunit ribosomal RNA", at positions 354 to 796 of the family's 1533-position model. The record is from RNAcentral.
GUAGGGAAUAUUGGACAAUGGGGGCAACCCUGAUCCAGCGACGCCGCGUGAGUGAUGAAGGCCUUCGGGUCGUAAAGCUCUGUUGCAGGGGAAGAACACAAUGACGGUACCCUGCUAGAAAGGAUCGGCUAACUUCGUGCCAGCAGCCGCGGUAAGACGAGGGAUCCUAGCGUUGUUCGGAAUUAUUGGGCGUAAAGCGGGUGCAGGUGGCUUGGUAAGUCAGAUGUGAAAGCCUGGGGCUUAACCCCAGAAGUGCAUUUGAUACUGCUGAGCUUGAGUGCUGGAGAGGCUAUUAGCAUUCCUGGUGUAGUGGUGAAAUACGUAGAUAUCAGGAGGAAUACCGGAGGCGAAGGCGGAUAGCUGGCCAGACACUGACACUCAGACCCGAAAGCGUGGGGAUCAAACAGGAUUAGAAACCCCUGUAGUCC